AGCGAACGCUGGCGGCAGGCUUAACACAUGCAAGUCGGGCGGGCACUUUCGGGUGUCAGCGGCGGACGGGUGAGUAACGCGUGGGAACGUGCCCUCUGGUUCGGAAUAACUCAGGGAAACUUGAGCUAAUACCGGAUACGCCCUUUUGGGGAAAGGCUUGCUGCCGGAGGAUCGGCCCGCGUCUGAUUAGCUAGUUGGUGAGGUAACGGCUCACCAAGGCGACGAUCAGUAGCUGGUCUGAGAGGAUGAUCAGCCACACUGGGACUGAGACACGGCCCAGACUCCUACGGGAAGCAGCAGUGGGGAAUAUUGGACAAUGGGCGCAAGCCUGAUCCAGCCAUGCCGCGUGAGUGAUGAAGGCCUUAGGGUUGUAAAGCUCUUUUAUCCGGGACGAUAAUGACGGUACCGGAGGAAUAAGCCCCGGCUAACUUCGUG
This 435-nucleotide ribosomal RNA is filed under the name uncultured bacterium. RNAcentral describes it as "partial 16S ribosomal RNA". It matches the Rfam family "Bacterial small subunit ribosomal RNA", at positions 29 to 507 of the family's 1533-position model. The record is from RNAcentral.